GCGCCAGACUCCUACGGGAGGCAGCAGUGGGGAAUAUUGCACAAUGGGGGAAACCCUGAUGCAGCGACGCCGCGUGAGUGAAGAAGUAUUUCGGUAUGUAAAGCUCUAUCAGCAGGGAAGAAAAUGACGGUACCUGAUUAAGAAGCCCCGGCUAACUACGUGCCAGCAGCCGCGGUAAUACGUAGGGGGCAAGCGUUAUCCGGAAUUACUGGGUGUAAAGGGAGCGUAGACGGUGAAGUAAGUCUGGAGUGAAAGGCGGGGGCCCAACCCCCGGACUGCUCUGGAAACUAUUUGACUGGAGCGCAGGAGAGGUAAGCGGAAUUCCUAGUGUAGCGGUGAAAUGCGUAGAUAUUAGGAGGAACACCAGUGGCGAAGGCGGCUUACUGGACUGUAACUGACGUUGAGGCUCGAAAGCGUGGGGAGCAAACAGGAUUAGAUACCCCGGUAAC
RNAcentral lists this ribosomal RNA (449 nucleotides) under uncultured bacterium. RNAcentral's name for it is "bacterial SSU rRNA". It matches the Rfam family "Bacterial small subunit ribosomal RNA", at positions 328 to 794 of the family's 1533-position model. The record is from RNAcentral.